CCUCAAGCCUAAGGACCCCAAUGGCAGUACCUUGUCCAUAUCCAACUCCAUUUGGGAUUGUGCCCCAUGCUGGAAUGAACGGAGAGCUGACCAGCCCCGGAGCGGCCUACGCUGGGCUCCACAACAUCUCCCCUCAGAUGAGCGCAGCUGCCGCCGCCGCCGCCGCUGCUGCUGCCUAUGGGAGAUCACCAGUGGUGGGAUUUGAUCCGCACCAUCACAUGCGUGUGCCAGCAAUACCUCCAAACCUGACAGGCAUUCCAGGAGGAAAACCAGCGUACUCCUUCCAUGUUAGCGCAGACGGUCAGAUGCAGCCUGUCCCUUUUCCCCCCGACGCCCUCAUCGGACCCGGAAUCCCCAGGCAUGCUCGCCAGAUCAACACUCUCAACCACGGGGAGGUGGUGUGUGCGGUGACCAUCAGCAACCCCACGAGACACGUGUACACAGGUGGGAAGGGCUGCGUCAAGGUCUGGGACAUCAGCCACCCUGGCAAUAAGAGUCCUGUCUCCCAGCUCGACUGUCUGAUCUUUUCUCUGGGCUACUGCCCAACUGGAGAGUGGCUUGCAGUGGGGAUGGAGAACAGCAAUGUGGAAGUUUUGCAUGUCACCAAGCCAGACAAAUACCAACUACAUCUUCAUGAGAGCUGUGUGCUGUCGCUCAAGUUUGCCCAUUGUG
Molecule: small RNA, 672 nt
Filed under: Pongo abelii (Sumatran orangutan)
Lineage: Eukaryota; Metazoa; Chordata; Mammalia; Primates; Hominidae
Description: processed transcript
Source: RNAcentral